GGCUAAGAUUUAGGCCUAUAAACAGGCCUAUGGGCGAACAAAAAUCGAGAACAGUCGAGAGGAGCUCAGGCAACAGUCGAGAGGAGUUCAACGAGUGUCGAGCGUAAGCAACCAAUAGAGUAGACACAGGCAGAGCCAGCAGAGCACUGUAGAGGCAUGAUGUAGCAGUUUGCUCCACAAGAAGCAUCCGGGGAUGUCGAGAACCUUGGUAUUGGUAGACCCAUGAGGGGGUCUCC
This 236-nucleotide long non-coding RNA is filed under the name Elaeis guineensis (African oil palm). RNAcentral's name for it is "long non-coding RNA (EGUI_LNC056229)". Lineage: Eukaryota; Viridiplantae; Streptophyta; Magnoliopsida; Arecales; Arecaceae. The record is from RNAcentral.